This 384-nucleotide ribosomal RNA is filed under the name Triticum aestivum (bread wheat). Its description in RNAcentral is "partial small subunit ribosomal RNA". The record is from RNAcentral. Lineage: Eukaryota; Viridiplantae; Streptophyta; Magnoliopsida; Poales; Poaceae.
CCAAAUUGUGGCAACUGUCCGCUGUGCAACCAAGUUCCAGAAUCAGCAACGCACCUACUCUUCCAAUGUAGAUUCUCCAUAAGAGUGUGGUCCAUGGUGCGCGAUUGGCUUCAGCUUGAAGGGUUAUACCCAAAUAAUUGGCAGGGGUUUGAAGAUGUCGAAUCUUGGUGGUACACCAUGGUUCAUGAUGGCUUCGGACGUCGUAAGGCUAUGGGCUCUAUUACAAUGCUUGUGUCUUGGGAGUUAUGGAACGAGGGCAAUGCAAGGAUCUUCAACAACAAAUUUGCCACGUCGACAGUUAUCAUGGACAAAAUUCGGUGCGAGGCAAGGAAUUGGGGGCUCGCGGGGGCAACUUAUUUGUGUAAUCUUAUGCCGGGAGAGUAG